GGUGGACAGGUGGUGCAUGGUUGUCGUCAGCUCGUGUCGUGAGAUGUUGGGUUAAGUCCCGCAACGAGCGCAACCCCUAUUGUUAGUUGCCAUCAUUCAGUUGGGCACUCUAGCGAGACUGCCGGUAAUAAACCGGAGGAAGGUGGGGAUGACGUCAAAUCAUCAUGCCCCUUAUGACCUGGGCUACACACGUGCUACAAUGGUUGGUACAACGAGUUGCGAGUCGGUGACGGCGAGCUAAUCUCUUAAAGCCAAUCUCAGUUCGGAUUGUAGGCUGCAACUCGCCUACAUGAAGUCGGAAUCGCUAGUAAUCGCGGAUCAGCACGCCGCGGUGAAUACGUUCCCGGGCCUU
RNAcentral lists this ribosomal RNA (352 nucleotides) under uncultured Streptococcus sp. RNAcentral describes it as "bacterial SSU rRNA". It matches the Rfam family "Bacterial small subunit ribosomal RNA", at positions 1029 to 1382 of the family's 1533-position model. The record is from RNAcentral. Lineage: Bacteria; Bacillati; Bacillota; Bacilli; Lactobacillales; Streptococcaceae.